Molecule: ribosomal RNA, 31 nt
Filed under: Sabal domingensis
Lineage: Eukaryota; Viridiplantae; Streptophyta; Magnoliopsida; Arecales; Arecaceae
Description: partial 18S ribosomal RNA
Source: RNAcentral
GAGCCUGCAGAAGGAUCAUUGUCGAGACUCG